This 111-nucleotide small nuclear RNA is filed under the name Trichobilharzia regenti. Lineage: Eukaryota; Metazoa; Platyhelminthes; Trematoda; Strigeidida; Schistosomatidae. The record is from RNAcentral.
GUACUCGCUUCAGUGGUACAUAUACUAAAAUUCGAACUACAUAGGGAGAAGAUUAGCAUAGCCCCCCUGUACAAGGAUAACCCAUAAAAUAGUGAAGCGUUUCACAUUUCG